UCCGGUUUAACACCGGCAGUCUCGUCUGAGAGGAAGUCCAACAGACGAUAGGGGUUGCGCUCGUUGGCGGACUGAACCGUACAUUUCACAACACGAGCUGACGACAACCGUGCAACACCUGUGUAGCACCCUCGAAGGUCACACGUUUCCGUGCGCUUGCAGCUACAUGUCAAGCCCUGGUAAGGUUCUUCGCUUAGUGUCGAAUUAAACCACACGCUCCACCGCUUGUGCGGGUCCCCGUCAAUUCCUUUGAGUUUUAGCCUUGCGGCCGUACUCCCCAGGCGGCAGACUUCACGCGUUAGCUUCGGCACCAGCAGGGUCGAUACUGCCAAUGCCUAGUCUGCAUCGUUUACGGCGUGGACUAC
This 365-nucleotide unclassified non-coding RNA is filed under the name uncultured bacterium. RNAcentral describes it as "contains 16S-23S intergenic spacer region". The record is from RNAcentral.